This is a long non-coding RNA of Amphimedon queenslandica, 1012 nucleotides long. RefSeq lists it as uncharacterized. Lineage: Eukaryota; Metazoa; Porifera; Demospongiae; Haplosclerida; Niphatidae. The transcript has 6 exons. The record is from RefSeq and is a predicted model, not a curated record.
CUAUGCAAAAAUGGCUGCUGUUUUUUUUGUUGUUGGGUUUAGACUGGUUUUUUUGUCUUUUUCUCUAAAUAAAAGGAAGAAAUGAUGACUGCAGGUCUAGUUUUACUGCCGCCAAUGCAUGUACAUCCUUAUAAAUUGCUUAGAUGAAGUUUCCUUUACUGAGCAAUUCACCUGGUACCUUUAAAGUGGACUGUAAUGUAGCAGACUCUCUUCUGGAGAAUAGGUCUAAAUUCAAAUUUCUGCAAAAUUCUUCGACUUUUUUCUUUUACUUCUAUCAAUAUGGAUAUCUUUAAACCAGAAAACAGUCAAGUUGGCUUUCACAUCAUUUUUUUGUACAUCAGUGAAGGACCAGAAAUCCAGACAAAAUGCAGCUACAGACGCCGCAUAGUCUCUCCUAUAUGUCAGGAAGGUUUGAGUCUCUUCACUUUAAUGUCAUCCUCUUAAUUAAAUGAAUGUGACAUGUGAUGUUAGUCAGGUGAUGUUGUGUAGGUAAGGAUCACUAGUGGGUACCUGGUGGAGUGAGGCGAGGUGUGGCCAGAAAGGAAGUUGUGAUGAUGAAAUUAAAGCUAUAUUAUGCUACCUCCUGGAGGUUCCCUGUCAUGGACUGGUGAUAUGUAGUGGGUCAAUAUUACAGUGGGACCCACGUCUACCAGGAGACUAUUAGACCACACCCAGGAGGUCUGUGGGAUUCAAUAGUCACCAAAUCAUCAGCAACUGGUGGCAAGAGGAAAUGAUAAUAUAUGUGUACUUCAGUACUAGUUCUCAAGAUACACCCACUCACUGGCAUCAGAGGAUAUUCUUCCUCAAUGAACCCGUACAAGUUCAAACAGGUUUUUCUGCCUGUACUUCUCACUCCUGUCGUCAUUGUGGGGCUUCUGUAUGUAGUCUGGACCUUGUGGUCUUUUGUGUAAGAAGGGAGGUAUGCAUUUCAAUUAGUAUUCUGGGAACGAGAAUGCCUUUCUGUCACUCUCCAUUAGGGGAAUGCUCUUUGAUGAUGGACAUUUUACGUUUU